CGAGAUCUUCGGAUCUAGUGGCGCACGGGUGCGUAACGCGUGGGAAUCUGCCCUUGGGUUCGGAAUAACGUCGGGAAACUGACGCUAAUACCGGAUGAUGACGUAAGUCCAAAGAUUUAUCGCCCAGGGAUGAGCCCGCGUAGGAUUAGCUAGUUGGUGGGGUAAAGGCCUACCAAGGCGACGAUCCUUAGCUGGUCUGAGAGGAUGAUCAGCCACACUGGGACUGAGACACGGCCCAGACUCCUACGGGAGGCAGCAGUAGGGAAUAUUGGACAAUGGGGGCAACCCUGAUCCAGCAAUGCCGCGUGAGUGAUGAAGGCCUUAGGGUUGUAAAGCUCUUUUACCAGAGAUGAUAAUGACAGUAUCUGGGGA
Molecule: ribosomal RNA, 372 nt
Filed under: alpha proteobacterium BAL62
Lineage: Bacteria; Pseudomonadati; Pseudomonadota; Alphaproteobacteria
Description: bacterial SSU rRNA
Rfam family: Bacterial small subunit ribosomal RNA
Source: RNAcentral